This 341-nucleotide unclassified non-coding RNA is filed under the name soil metagenome. RNAcentral's name for it is "partial contains 5.8S ribosomal RNA, internal transcribed spacer 2, and large subunit ribosomal RNA". The stretch from base 1 to 120 matches the Rfam family "5.8S ribosomal RNA", at positions 35 to 154 of the family's 154-position model. The record is from RNAcentral.
GAUGAAGAACGCAGCGAAAUGCGAUAAGUAAUGCGAAUUGCAGAAUUCAGUGAAUCAUCGAAUCUUUGAACGCACAUUGCGCCCUUUGGUAUUCCAAAGGGCAUGCCUGUUCGAGCGUCAUUUGUACCCUCAAGCUUUGCUUGGUGUUGGGCGUCUUGUCUCUAGCUUUGCUGGAGACUCGCCUUAAAGUAAUUGGCAGCCGGCCUACUGGUUUCGGAGCGCAGCACAAGUCGCACUCUCUAUCAGCAAAGGUCUAGCAUCCAUUAAGCCUUUUUUUCAACUUUUGACCUCGGAUCAGGUAGGGAUACCCGCUGAACUUAAGCAUAUCAAUAAGCGGAGGA